CACUAGCGUAUAUUAAAGUUGUUGCAGUUAAAAAGCUCGUAGUUGGAUUUCUGGUGGGAGCGAUCGGUCUGGCGCUUAGCGCGAGUACUUGCAUCGUCUCCGGCCAUCCUUGGGGAGAGUCUGUCUGGCAUUAGGUUGUCGGGCAGAGGAUCCUCAUCGUUUACUGUGAAAAAAUUAGAGUGUUCAAAGCAGGCUUAUGCCGUUGAAUAUAUUAGCAUGGAAUAAUAAGAUAGGACUUUGGUACUAUUUUGUUGGUUUGCGCACCAAAGUAAUGAUUAAUAGGGACAGUUGGGGGUAUUCGUAUUCCGUUGUCAGAGGUGAAAUUCUUGGAUUUACGGAAGACGAACUACUGCGAAAGCAUUUACCAAGGAUGUUUUCAUUAA
Molecule: ribosomal RNA, 383 nt
Filed under: uncultured eukaryote
Lineage: Eukaryota
Description: partial 18S ribosomal RNA
Rfam family: Eukaryotic small subunit ribosomal RNA
Source: RNAcentral